RNAcentral lists this long non-coding RNA (242 nucleotides) under Manihot esculenta (cassava). RNAcentral describes it as "long non-coding RNA (MESC_LNC001970)". Lineage: Eukaryota; Viridiplantae; Streptophyta; Magnoliopsida; Malpighiales; Euphorbiaceae. The record is from RNAcentral.
CUCCAAACCUUCCAAACACCCCAAACAAGCAUCCAAACUUUCCCAAAACAUGCAUUAACUAUUCUACAACAUGCAACCAAGCACAUAGGGGUCUCAAACUAUCCUAAACCCCAACAACAAUACAUUCAUUAUACAUAAACACACAUUUGCAUAAAGGGUAACAUAAACCCUCAACCUUAUGCAUAUGUUCUAAAACAACCCAAAUCCUCACAUACUCUCUCCCCAUCAUGCAUACUCACUCU